UAUAAAUGAUCUUGAAGACCGCGUUGAAAGUCAUGUUUCAGUGUUUGCAGAUGACACAAAACUUUGUAAAACAAUACAAUGUGAGCAAGAUAUUACUUUGAUGCAGAGGGAUUUAGAUAGACUGGGGGACUGGGCACUCAAACGGCAGAUGAAAUUUAAUGUUGAAAAAUGCAAAGUUAUGCACUUCGGCGUAAAGAAUACACAAGCAACGUAUACCCUUAAUGGAAGCGAAUUAGGGAUAACAACACAUGAAAAGGACUUGGGAAUAGUUAUAGACAACAAACUAUGCAACAAUGUGCAAUGUCAAUCAGCA
RNAcentral lists this long non-coding RNA (313 nucleotides) under Pelobates cultripes (western spadefoot toad). Lineage: Eukaryota; Metazoa; Chordata; Amphibia; Anura; Pelobatidae. The record is from RNAcentral.